CGAGCGGGCACGGCAGCAGCUGUCUUUUGGGAGGCAGCAUUCUGAAAUAUCUAUUCGUGUAAUUGAAAAUAAAUACACUUGAGAACUGCGAUGCGUUCAGAGACAUGCCGCCCAUAGCAAAAUACGAAGCACGGCCAGGAUUGUUCCAGUCAACACACUGGACCAACCAUUAAGCAAUUCCAUUUUGGACUAGAUCAUUGAAGAGCCUCAAUCGAGUCUGCCACAGGACAGGACAAGUGUACCAUGAAGAAGGUUUAGGAGAAUCAUUCGUUAGGCUUGCCUGGACUCCCUAUGACUUGAAAAGCAGGAUUCCCUGUUUUGGGCCACGAAUUCCAGUCUCUAACUUGGCAGUGAAACAUGAAGCCUCCAUCUGACAGACUGGCUCAAUCUCUGCAUUUUCAAUUAACACCUGAAGCUGAAAGUGGAGUAAGAAGAACAUUUUGAAUCUACUAACCAGUGUGAGAUACUAGAACUGUAUCUCUGUCUGAAGCUGAUGCCAUUAAAAUAGGAAGAAUGAUACGAUGUGGCAAACACAUUAAAGCUUGCUAAAUUACUUUUAACAGGUGAUUUUUUUCAGAACAAGUUUGUGCAAAGGACAGUUUUACGUAAGAGUUCUGAAAGAAUGAAACACACAGCAAGGAAAAAAAGCCUGCUUUGACUAUACACUAUGUGUAAAAGACUUAGGGCUAAUUUUAGCCGCAAGUCUAGCAACUGUCUUGACUAUCUAGCCAACAUUUAAGUGUUUCAAAAGUUUGUAACUUACGUAAGUCUGAAUAAAUGUUGACAGAAACAAGGAGAAAAGAGGACUUCUCUGACACAAAACCAAGUCUGCUUGCAAACUGAAAGACUGCAGGAGUACUAAAAUAUUCUCCUCUAAACAACAAAGCCUUAAAGAUGAAGGAAACAAAAUUUUCUCUUACAUACCCUCUUUGGAACUACUUUACUUCUGAAAUUGCGCUCUUAUUAAAAAGAAAAAAUGUCACCUUAAUGCAAAGAAAAUUUUAGCCCACAAUCUAAAUUUAAAUUUAGGGGCAACAGAAACUCAGUACUGCACAAGGUUUACAGAAACUUAGAAUAAGGAAAACCUCAAAAACACCAGUUCCAAUGAGACACAAUAAACUGUCAUUGUUAAGAAGCUACUUUUAUGCAAAAAAAGCUAAUGGAAUAGUUACAAAAAUGUUUCUGUUCCUUGAGAUACUUCGUGAUCAGAAUUAACUGCAUUAUCAUGAAAAAAACAGCCAUGACACAUCGCAUAUCACAGCCUCAAGACUUCAUUUGUUCUACCUCUUUCCACAUGAAGGCACUUAUACUCACAGGGUUUGACUUCAUCUCCAUAAGGUUGUCCAAAAUACGUGUGACUGGUAAAUUCUGUAAAACGUAACACAAAAUUAAUGGAAUGUUGAAAUGCUUACUAGGAAUUAUUCACAGGUAUACAUUAACUAUGAAAUAGUUUACAUUUGAAAUACUACUUUAAACAGUAAUUUUUUUUAAAGGUUGAGCAUUUUUAUCAUAAUCUAAAUCAGCUUUCUGUACAGAAAAUGCCACUGUCUGAGAAGCACCUAGCUAGGGGAUGAACAGAAAGUGUAAAAAAAAAAUGCAAAAAUGGGAUCAAGAGUUGUAUUUAGGUGUUACCAAUAUAUGCAGAUAUGUGAUGAUAUUUGAGUUCUUAUUAAAAAAACACUGCACAAUUUAACAAAAGAAUUUUAAUGCUAAAGAUGAGAAUGUAAUGUGAUUGUAAAAAAGAACUACUGCUGUGAAAGAAAUGGGUAAAAAAAGAAAUCCUGGGCAAAAAUGUUUCGUUGAACUGGAAAGGAAUAAACUGAGGUGAGAUUCGAGAUGACUUGUCAUUAUUUAAGAUGGAAAAUGUCAGCUUGGACAAAAGAUAUGAAGUAUUAAACAGUCAAACCACUUUAGUUAUAAUAAACUGAGGGACAGGUUACAUAGCAACGGCAUUGGAAAUGUGUCUUGUUGACAGAAUAUAUCAAAAAAGGACAUUCCAAAGGAUGUUCUACAAAUAACACUGAAAAACAACUAGUAAAACCCGAGUGUAAAUCCCUGAACGAUCAAACAAGAAAUAAAAAGUUAACUUUAACAGAAACACCACAGACCUACAACAAGCUUAAAACUAUGAGGAAGAAGAGUAUUUUAUCUGGCUACCCCAAAAACAGCUGGAAAAGGAAUUAAAAGUCACAAAAAAAAAA
Long non-coding RNA from Columba livia (rock pigeon), 2201 nucleotides. RefSeq lists it as uncharacterized. The record is from RefSeq and is a predicted model, not a curated record. NCBI's taxonomy places the organism in Eukaryota, Metazoa, Chordata, Aves, Columbiformes, Columbidae. The transcript has 5 exons.